This 267-nucleotide long non-coding RNA is filed under the name Elaeis guineensis (African oil palm). Its description in RNAcentral is "long non-coding RNA (EGUI_LNC035008)". The record is from RNAcentral. Lineage: Eukaryota; Viridiplantae; Streptophyta; Magnoliopsida; Arecales; Arecaceae.
AGGCUCUAUUUGAACCAGAUGAACCAUGACUAAGAGAGCCCAAGUUCUCUAAGACUUUUUCUCCAAAAAUCAUAUCAAAAAGAGAAGUGAAGUAUUAUUUUUCUCAUCCUUCUUUCUUUACGCGUGUGAAAGUAGAAGGGGCGCCAAUAGUUGGCGCUUCGCCUUAUCUGGAAGUCUUUUUCAUCCAAAUUAUUUUUAUUUAAAUUUGAUUCAAAAUAGAAUAGAAAUAUCUCAAAUUAGAGCAUGAAAGUAUUUUUUUGUGUGACA